GGGUUGUGAGGUUAAGCGACUAAGCGUACACGGUGGAUGCCCUGGCAGUCAGAGGCGAUGAAGGACGUGCUAAUCUGCGAAAAGCGUCGGUAAGGUGAUAUGAACCGUUAUAGCCGGCGAUGUCCGAAUGGGGAAACCCAGUGCAAUUCGUUGCACUAUCGUUAACUGAAUACAUAGGUUAACGAGGCGAACCGGGGGAACUGAAACAUCUAAGUACCCCGAGGAAAAGAAAUCAACCGAGAUUCCCCCAGUAGCGGCGAGCGAACGGGGAGCAGCCCGGAGUCUGAAUCAGCUUGUGUGUUAGUGGAAGCGUCUGGAAAGUCGCAGGGUACAGGGUGAUACUCCCGUACACUAAAACACACAGGCUGUGAACUCGAAGAGUAGGGCGGGACACGUGGUAUCCUGUCUGAAUAUGGGGGGACCAUCCUCCAAGGCUAAAUACUCCUGACUGACCGAUAGUGAACCAGUACCGUGAGGGAAAGGCGAAAAGAACCCCGGCGAGGGGAGUGAAAAAGAACCUGAAACCGUGUACGUACAAGCAGUAGGAGCCUCUUUAUGGGGUGACUGCGUACCUUUUGUAUAAUGGGUCAGCGACUUAUAUUCUGUAGCAAGGUUAACCGUAUAGGGGAGCCGCAGGGAAACCGAGUCUUAACUGGGCGUUAAGUUGCAGGGUAUAGACCCGAAACCCGGUGAUCUAGCCAUGGGCAGGUUGAAGGUUGGGUAACACUAACUGGAGGACCGAACCGACUAAUGUUGAAAAAUUAGCGGAUGACUUGUGGCUGGGGGUGAAAGGCCAAUCAAACCGGGAGAUAGCUGGUUCUCCCCGAAAGCUAUUUAGGUAGCGCCUCGUGAACUCAUCUUCGGGGGUAGAGCACUGUUUCGGCUAGGGGGUCAUCCCGACUUACCAACCCGAUGCAAACUACGAAUACCGAAGAAUGUUAUCACGGGAGACACACGGCGGGUGCUAACGUCCGUCGUGAAGAGGGAAACAACCCAGACCGCCAGCUAAGGUCCCAAAGUCAUGGUUAAGUGGGAAACGAUGUGGGAAGGCCCAGACAGCCAGGAUGUUGGCUUAGAAGCAGCCAUCAUUUAAAGAAAGCGUAAUAGCUCACUGGUCGAGUCGGCCUGCGCGGAAGAUGUAACGGGGCUAAACCAUGCACCGAAGCUGCGGCAGCGACACUAUGUGUUGUUGGGUAGGGGAGCGUUCUGUAAGCCGUUGAAGGUGGCCUGUGAGGGUUGCUGGAGGUAUCAGAAGUGCGAAUGCUGACAUAAGUAACGAUAAUGCGGGUGAAAAACCCGCACGCCGGAAGACCAAGGGUUCCUGUCCAACGUUAAUCGGGGCAGGGUGAGUCGACCCCUAAGGCGAGGCCGAAAGGCGUAGUCGAUGGGAAACAGGUUAAUAUUCCUGUACUCGGUGUUACUGCGAAGGGGGGACGGAGAAGGCUAUGUUGGCCGGGCGACGGUUGUCCCGGUUUAAGCAUGUAGGCGGAUGUUCCAGGUAAAUCCGGAACGUUACUAACGCUGAGGUGUGAUGACGAGGCACUACGGUGCUGAAGUGACAAAUGCCCUGCUUCCAGGAAAAGCCUCUAAGCAUCAGGUAACAUCAAAUCGUACCCCAAACCGACACAGGUGGUCAGGUAGAGAAUACCAAGGCGCUUGAGAGAACUCGGGUGAAGGAACUAGGCAAAAUGGUGCCGUAACUUCGGGAGAAGGCACGCUGAUAUGUAGGUGAAGUGGUUUACCCAUGGAGCUGAAAUCAGUCGAAGAUACCAGCUGGCUGCAACUGUUUAUUAAAAACACAGCACUGUGCAAACACGAAAGUGGACGUAUACGGUGUGACGCCUGCCCGGUGCCGGAAGGUUAAUUGAUGGGGUUAUCCGUAAGGAGAAGCUCUUGAUCGAAGCCCCGGUAAACGGCGGCCGUAACUAUAACGGUCCUAAGGUAGCGAAAUUCCUUGUCGGGUAAGUUCCGACCUGCACGAAUGGCGUAAUGAUGGCCAGGCUGUCUCCACCCGAGACUCAGUGAAAUUGAACUCGCUGUGAAGAUGCAGUGUACCCGCGGCAAGACGGAAAGACCCCGUGAACCUUUACUAUAGCUUGACACUGAACACUGGUCCUUGAUGUGUAGGAUAGGUGGGAGGCUUUGAAGCGUGGACGCCAGUCUGCGUGGAGCCAUCCUUGAAAUACCACCCUUUAAUGGCUGGUGUUCUAACGUGGGCCCCUAAUCGGGGUUGCGGACAGUGUCUGGUGGGUAGUUUGACUGGGGCGGUCUCCUCCUAAAGAGUAACGGAGGAGCACGAAGGUCAGCUAAUCCUGGUCGGACAUCAGGAGGUUAGUGCAAUGGCAUAAGCUGGCUUGACUGCGAGCGUGACGGCGCGAGCAGGUGCGAAAGCAGGUCAUAGUGAUCCGGUGGUUCUGAAUGGAAGGGCCAUCGCUCAACGGAUAAAAGGUACUCCGGGGAUAACAGGCUGAUACCGCCCAAGAGUUCAUAUCGACGGCGGUGUUUGGCACCUCGAUGUCGGCUCAUCACAUCCUGGGGCUGAAGUAGGUCCCAAGGGUAUGGCUGUUCGCCAUUUAAAGUGGUACGCGAGCUGGGUUUAGAACGUCGUGAGACAGUUCGGUCCCUAUCUGCCGUGGGCGCUGGAGAAUUGAGGGGGGCUGCUCCUAGUACGAGAGGACCGGAGUGGACGCAUCACUGGUGUUCGGGUUGUCAUGCCAAUGGCAUUGCCCGGUAGCUAAAUGCGGAAGAGAUAAGUGCUGAAAGCAUCUAAGCACGAAACUUGCCCCGAGAUGAGUUCUCCCUGACUCCUUGAGAGUCCUGAAGGAACGUUGAAGACGACGACGUUGAUAGGCCGGGUGUGUAAGCGCAGCGAUGCGUUGAGCUAACCGGUACUAAUGAACCGUGAGGCUUAACCUUACAACGCCGAAG
This 2928-nucleotide ribosomal RNA is filed under the name Klebsiella grimontii. RNAcentral describes it as "23S ribosomal RNA". It matches the Rfam family "Bacterial large subunit ribosomal RNA". RNAcentral also lists the same sequence under 1 other name. Lineage: Bacteria; Pseudomonadati; Pseudomonadota; Gammaproteobacteria; Enterobacterales; Enterobacteriaceae. The record is from RNAcentral.